GAUAAGCAGCCUACAAUCUUCACUUCUCCUCUUCUCGCUGAUUUGUUUUCCCCAGAUUUUUUUAAAAUUCACAGAUCAUCAUGUCAGCAGACCAGUAACUUUUCUCUGGGAGGCCACAGGUUUCUGUUUGUGACUCAGAAGUUGACCAAAGAGACCCAGGACCUUUAGAGCAGCAGCACACACCCGGACAACCCUACAACAAAAACCUGAGCUCCACAUCUACUGUGACUUGCUUCUGUCCAUUCCCUCCUCUGUGAUGGACCCGUUUGGCCCCUCUGCACAACCCAGAGGCAUCAACUUUGACCUGCCGACCUGCCGGGACACUCAGUGCAGCAGCCACGGCAACUGCGUGCCUCCUCCGGGAGGUGGUACCAAUCUAGUUUGCUACUGUGAUCUGGGCUACAAGGGGGAGUUCUGUGACGACACGGUCAACGGGUCGUUAAGUUUACCGCUGACCAUAAGUGUGGUGGUGGUCAUCAUCGGCAUCAUCAUCCUUGCAUUCAUUGUUGCUAAGAUACGACAGAGGCAAAAGAAGGCUCAGAGGAGACGUUUAGCAGCAAAGCAUGGCUACAAUGUUUCUGUUUAAUGCAGAUAAAUCUAUAUCUAAGGUCAGCCACGAUCUUGCAGCACUGGGGCCACUGUGCUGGGGCUUAAGUUUGAAUCUUGCACAAGAGAAGAAGAUUUGCUUUUCUAUCUUGACAGUACGCAUGUGACUAUACUGUGUUACUUUUGCUUAAACAUUUUAAAGACUCUGAUCCUUAAAUGACAAACUGAAGCACCUAUGCUGAUGUAUCCAUCCAUCCAGUUGUUUGCAGCUCCUGUUUCUGCUGUUGAAUCUUUGCACAGUGCCACAGGAGAGAAAAAAAAACAAAUAUUUUUCUUCAUAUAGCAUCCAGACAUGAAAAAUAUAAAAGUGAUGUCCUCCAACAAAUCCUUCAAUAAGGGAAGUCAAUUGCACAGUACCAUCCCAUGUCACUUUUGGUGGUUUAUUUAAACAAGUUGUAGAUGAUUGAUUUUAAUGUUUACCGACAGCUGUGUGAGACUGGUAUUUUACGGUGAUAGAGAGUUAGAAGUUAGGGCUUUGUACUUUUACCUGGAAAACAUAGUGGAAACUUUUACAAAACAAUGACAUAUUCCAUUUCUGAAUUUUGCUCAUGCAUCAUCAUCCUGCAGACAUUUGUUGCACUAAGACACUUGCUGCACUAAUGAUGGGUUUGUUUGCUAAAUCUACUGUCAUUCCUAAUUUUCUUGUAAUUAAAACUAUUUCCACUGUAAAAUAAUGCACAUGUUCAACUGUGAGUGGCAAAUGAAGCAGAUUGUAUCCUUUGAAUACAGCAAAAAUAAGGAUUACUACACUUACAAGCAAGACUUUUUAAAUAGAUUUAGUCCUGUAUUUUCUCUUUUAUCGUAGCUUUAUUCAGAAAAUGUGCACUUUGAUCAGAAUGCUUUAGAUCUGUUGUUAAAUUUAAAAAAGCAUUUCUUGUCCUUCAAAAUUAUUUGAAUCCCUUCCUAACUAAAAGGCACCUUUAAACCUUGAAAUCAGUACACAUUAUCCGUCAUGGAAAGCUUCAAGUGUGUGUGUGUGCUUGGUGCAGCUUCGAGGUAUGACCACCACCAGUAGAUGUGCACUUUCAGUCGUGGUGGUCUCUGAAUCUCGGCUUGCAGAAAUGUCGCUGCUCAAAUGUACGUAAAAUCAGAGCUACACAAAGUUCUUCCUAACCGGAGUCAAUAAGAAGUCAAGGUUUUUUUUUUUUUUUUUUUUUUUUCUUUGAUGAUAUUGCCAGUGUUAAAUGCUUUUUUUUUUGCUGCAGUGAAUUUCUUUUGUACACUACUGACUGAAAUUUUUAAUAUCCCUUUUACUUUUCAACUGUUGGUGACCACAAACAGUUGUUAUACAGAAUAUAUUUUAGGACCUUGUCUUAUUGACAUACAUCCACACUGUGACUUCAGUAAACUGAAGACGGUUGGUCCAGAAGUGAGACGCUGAGGUAACAAAAGUCCAAAAUACUCAAUGGAUGAGUUUUAGUAAUGUGUUAUUUACAGUGAUCUCAGUGAAUUUGUAUCACACUGUUUUUCACUUAUCUUCUUUACAAAAACAUAAAUUGUAUUUUCUCUUUUUUUCCAUAUUUAUCUCUCUUUUUUUUCUAUUCCAUUUCCACAUGCUUUUCAAUCACAUUGGCAGAAGGCAAUAAUGCUUUUUUAUACUGGAGAAGAUGUA
Molecule: long non-coding RNA, 2218 nt
Organism: Cololabis saira (Pacific saury)
Lineage: Eukaryota; Metazoa; Chordata; Actinopteri; Beloniformes; Belonidae
Exons: 5
Source: RefSeq, a predicted model, not a curated record